AAAACAAUGAGAGGGAUCUGACUAAUUAAAGGGGUACUUGACCAUAUGGUGAAUUUGCGCGCAUGUUUAUAUUGAAGAAUUGAAAUAUGAGAAUAAUGCUAACUUUGUAUAGCCAUGAAAGCUAGUUCGUAAAUUGGCGAUAUCGGCACCUUGACAUUUCCACAUGGUAUUAAGUACAUCCUCAGUAUCUUUCCAGUCAAGUAGGCGGCAUGUGAAGAAAUUAGCUGAUUAGAAUCUCUGUCCCUCAUAGUUCUACUCAUAGUCUCUA
RNAcentral lists this unclassified non-coding RNA (268 nucleotides) under Hevea brasiliensis (rubber tree). Lineage: Eukaryota; Viridiplantae; Streptophyta; Magnoliopsida; Malpighiales; Euphorbiaceae. The record is from RNAcentral.